Molecule: microRNA precursor, 52 nt
Filed under: Felis catus (domestic cat)
Lineage: Eukaryota; Metazoa; Chordata; Mammalia; Carnivora; Felidae
Also listed under: 5 other names
Description: mir-1302 microRNA precursor family
Rfam family: mir-1302 microRNA precursor family
Source: Rfam by way of RNAcentral
UUUUUAGCAUAAAUAUGCCUUAUGCAAUAUUUGGGACAUACUUAUACUAAAA